Molecule: ribosomal RNA, 468 nt
Filed under: uncultured bacterium
Lineage: Bacteria
Description: partial 16S ribosomal RNA
Rfam family: Bacterial small subunit ribosomal RNA
Source: RNAcentral
GACGAACGCUGGCGGCGUGCUUAACACAUGCAAGUCGAACGGAAAGGCCCUGCUUUUGUGGGGUGCUCGAGUGGCGAACGGGUGGGUAACACGUGAGUAACCUGCCCUUGACUUUGGGAUAACUUCAGGAAACUGGGGCUAAUACCGGAUAGGAGCUCCUGCUGCAUGGUGGGGGUUGGAAAGUUUCGGCGGUUGGGGAUGGACUCGCGGCUUAUCAGCUUGUUGGUGGGGUAGUGGCUUACCAAGGCUUUGACGGGUAGCCGGCCUGAGAGGGUGACCGGCCACAUUGGGACUGAGAUACGGCCCAGACUCCUACGGGAGGCAGCAGUGGAGAAUAUUGCACAAUGGGCGGAAGCCUGAUGCAGCAACGCCGCGUGCGGGAUGACGGCCUUCGGGUUGUAAACCGCUUUCGCCUGUGACGAAGCGUGAGUGACGGUAAUGGGUAAAGAAGCACCGGCUAACUACGUG